This 253-nucleotide ribosomal RNA is filed under the name uncultured bacterium. Its description in RNAcentral is "partial 16S ribosomal RNA". It matches the Rfam family "Bacterial small subunit ribosomal RNA", at positions 524 to 776 of the family's 1533-position model. The record is from RNAcentral.
UACGGGGGGGGCAAGCGUUGUUCGGAAUUACUGGGCGUAAAGGGCUCGUAGGCGGCCAACUAAGUCAGACGUGAAAUCCCUCGGCUUAACCGGGGAACUGCGUCUGAUACUGGAUGGCUUGAGAUUGGGAGAGGGAUGCGGAAUUCCAGGUGUAGCGGUGAAAUGCGUAGAUAUCUGGAGGAACACCGGUGGCGAAGGCGGCAUCCUGGACCAACACUGACGCUGAGGCACGAAGGCCAGGGGAGCAAACGGG